GGGACACGUGGUAUCCUGUCUGAAUAUGGGGGGACCAUCCUCCAAGGCUAAAUACUCCUGACUGACCGAUAGUGAACCAGUACCGUGAGGGAAAGGCGAAAAGAACCCCGGCGAGGGGAGUGAAAAAGAACCUGAAACCGUGUACGUACAAGCAGUGGGAGCCUCUUAAUGGGGUGACUGCGUACCUUUUGUAUAAUGGGUCAGCGACUUAUAUUCUGUAGCAAGGUUAACCGAAUAGGGGAGCCGAAGGGAAACCGAGUCUUAACUGGGCGUUAAGUUGCAGGGUAUAGACCCGAAACCCGGUGAUCUAGCCAUGGGCAGGUUGAAGGUUGGGUAACACUAACUGGAGGACCGAACCGACUAAUGUUGAAAAAUUAGCGGAUGACUUGUGGCUGGGGGUGAAAGGCCAAUCAAACCGGGAGAUAGCUGGUUCUCCCCGAAAGCUAUUUAGGUAGCGCCUCGUGAAUUCAUCUCCGGGGGUAGAGCACUGUUUCGGCAAGGGGGUCAUCCCGACUUACCAACCCGAUGCAAACUGCGAAUACCGGAGAAUGUUAUCACGGGAGACACACGGCGGGUGCUAACGUCCGUCGUGAAGAGGGAAACAACCCAGACCGCCAGCUAAGGUCCCAAAGUCAUGGUUAAGUGGGAAACGAUGUGGGAAGGCCCAGACAGCCAGGAUGUUGGCUUAGAAGCAGCCAUCAUUUAAAGAAAGCGUAAUAGCUCACUGGUCGAGUCGGCCUGCGCGGAAGAUGUAACGGGGCUAAACCAUGCACCGAAGCUGCGGCAGCGACGCUUAUGCGUUGUUGGGUAGGGGAGCGUUCUGUAAGCCUGUGAAGGUGGCCUGUGAGGGUUGCUGGAGGUAUCAGAAGUGCGAAUGCUGACAUAAGUAACGAUAAAGCGGGUGAAAAGCCCGCUCGCCGGAAGACCAAGGGUUCCUGUCCAACGUUAAUCGGGGCAGGGUGAGUCGACCCCUAAGGCGAGGCCGAAAGGCGUAGUCGAUGGGAAACAGGUUAAUAUUCCUGUACUUGGUGUUACUGCGAAGGGGGGACGGAGAAGGCUAUGUUGGCCGGGCGACGGUUGUCCCGGUUUAAGCGUGUAGGCUGGUUUUCCAGGCAAAUCCGGAAAACCAAGGCUGAGGCGUGAUGACGAGGC
Molecule: ribosomal RNA, 1152 nt
Filed under: Escherichia coli
Lineage: Bacteria; Pseudomonadati; Pseudomonadota; Gammaproteobacteria; Enterobacterales; Enterobacteriaceae
Description: partial 23S ribosomal RNA
Rfam family: Bacterial large subunit ribosomal RNA
Source: RNAcentral